This 335-nucleotide unclassified non-coding RNA is filed under the name Hevea brasiliensis (rubber tree). The record is from RNAcentral. Lineage: Eukaryota; Viridiplantae; Streptophyta; Magnoliopsida; Malpighiales; Euphorbiaceae.
UGACAGUUCGAGUCAGAAGCAUCCUGCAAAAUAAUGUGCUUUUGUUUAACAACUCCAAGGCAAAUAGAGAAGGGUGGUUGAAAGCUGUUGUGUGUUAUUGAUCUAGUUGCAUUUGGCGAACUUAUAAUUAAAAAUCAUUUAGGUUGGAGAUGUUCUUCAGGGAUCAUUUCUAGAUCAAGAGAAUGCCACACCUUAGUUGCAUUUGGACAAGCAUUAAGGGUCAUGAAGGAUUUAAUGCACUAAUGUCCAGAAAAAUGCAGUUUAUACUGAUGUGUAAAUAUCAAAUAGUUUCGUCCAAACAUGUAGUCAAAUAAAAAGAUACUAGCAAUUCAAGC